Pelobates cultripes (western spadefoot toad) is the source of this 77-nucleotide non-coding RNA. The record is from the annotation of a GenBank genome assembly. Lineage: Eukaryota; Metazoa; Chordata; Amphibia; Anura; Pelobatidae.
CAGAGCAGAUGGGAGGGGGACAUAAAAUAGGUCUACCUAUUUUAUGUCCCCCUCCCAUCUGCUCUGUAUUAUUGUUU